GAAUACUUGCUCGUCUCUGCAGCUGCAGUGACGAUGUAGUUACUCUCACGCACUGGGCAUUAGAGGGAACAUUGGUGUGAGCUCUUAACACUUUUAGAAGAAUCUUCUGUUGGUGGGAAGUGCAAAGCAUGAGUAUAAAUAAGGGUGAUUGUGGUGAGAAUGCUUAAGAGCCAGUAGAUAAAAGACAUCUAUGUUAGUAUCAUCAGGAACCAUUUGAUACUGCUGCAGAUCUGUCAAGCUGUAUUCCACUGAUACCAGGAAAAAAAAGAAAGAAAAAAAAACAUGGACACAAAAUGUUCAAAGCUGGGUUUCACCUUGUACAUCUUCCUCACUUUGGGUGGGUGCGCAACUGUAGGAUAUGGUAUAUGGUUACAAAUGAAGAGCAACACACCUGACUUGUUAAAAACAGUUGAUGAUGCAACACUUACAACGCUCCUGUCCCUGGGGGACCCGAUGCUGAUCACUCUGGGCUGCAUCCUCGCUGUGAUGGGCGGGAUUGGCAGUUUAGGCAUUUUGAAGAAUAAACGCUGGAUGCUCUUGGUUUUUUUUGUCAUUGUGCUCAUCAUCUUCAUCCUCCAUGUCACCGUGGCAGUGUUUGUGGUCCUCCCCAAUUCUGUGAAAGAAAAACCCUUCAGGAGCUUAGAGAGCAAACUGUUACAAACCAUUGAGAAGAACUAUAAAGUUGACUCUUCAAUCACUAGCAUAUGGGAUGAAACCAUGAACAAGCUGCAUUGCUGUGGAUACAAAGGCUAUGAUGACUUCACACAUUCCGCUUGGGUACAGUCGAACUCGUAUCCCGAACAAUGCUGCGGUGAAUAUACAAAUACAAAUUCUGUUUGUAGUAAAAAACAAGCUGAGAAAAAGGAAGUAAACGGCUGCAUUCAUGUCCUGUUGAGCGAAAAAAGUUUUCCCAUUUCUGGAGCUUUGUUCUUUUUGAUCGGGAUUCUAGAGAUUGUUGCCUUGGUCGGUUCCCUGACAGUCUACCGAUGCUUGAGACGCAUACCUGUGAUAAACAACUUUUUAUAAAUGUGUGCAAGUUAUUUGUGUUUUAUUAUUAAUUUUGCAUUUAUUUACAGUGCCUUCAGAGUAAAAAAAAUCACAUUUUGAUUAUGAAAGAUGAUGUGUGAAAAAAAUAUUUUUCUUAAAAAUAUUACUUGAUUUCAGUUUUAUAAUGUCUAUCAAAUAUAACAAAGUGCAUAGUGGCUUCUCAUUUUAUUUACUGUUUCUUCUUUUUUUUUGUAAAGACAAAUCACUUACAAUAUGAUUCUAUUAUUAUAAAGAACAGCUGUUAACCUUUAAUAAUUUCCUUUAACAAUGAUUAAUAAAGGCAUUGCUGAGAGAAAAUCCUGUUGUGGAAUAAUUAAUAGAAAACUGUAUUAAACAUUUUAUUAAAUUAUAUUAAUAACUUUAUUAUUAAGAGAGAUUUCUAUUCCUGUAGUAAACAUACCUUUCUGCUGCUUUAACAUUUCAUUCUGUAGUAAA
This is a long non-coding RNA of Ctenopharyngodon idella (grass carp), 1482 nucleotides long. RefSeq lists it as uncharacterized. NCBI's taxonomy places the organism in Eukaryota, Metazoa, Chordata, Actinopteri, Cypriniformes, Xenocyprididae. The transcript is spliced from 8 exons. The record is from RefSeq and is a predicted model, not a curated record.